Molecule: long non-coding RNA, 212 nt
Filed under: Elaeis guineensis (African oil palm)
Lineage: Eukaryota; Viridiplantae; Streptophyta; Magnoliopsida; Arecales; Arecaceae
Description: long non-coding RNA (EGUI_LNC053529)
Source: RNAcentral
GAUCUAAUCUCUAAGGAAGAAUUAUCUUUGAUUUGAUCGGAACUUUAGUUCAAUCAAUUCUUAAUUUGAUUAAAAUUUGAUUAAAAAUUUAUAAAGCUAAUUAGAUUGAGUUUUUAUCUAUUUAUUUGGGUUUGACCAGAUGUGAUUUGGUUAGGAGUCAAAUAAGGAACAUAGAGUCCAUAGAAGAUUGGACUCUUCUCCCAUGCGCCACC